CAGUCGCCGCGGCUAUACGGAGGGUGCAAGCGUUAAUCGGAAUUACUGGGCGUAAAGCGCACGCAGGCGGUCUGUCAAGUCGGAUGUGAAAUCCCCGGGCUCAACCUGGGAACUGCAUUCGAAACUGGCAGGCUAGAGUCUUGUAGAGGGGGGUAGAAUUCCAGGUGUAGCGGUGAAAUGCGUAGAGAUCUGGAGGAAUACCGGUGGCGAAGGCGGCCCCCUGGACAAAGACUGACGCUCAGGUGCGAAAGCGUGGGGAGCAAACAGGAUUAGAUACCCCAGUAGUCCCUGUCUCUUAUAC
RNAcentral lists this ribosomal RNA (301 nucleotides) under uncultured bacterium. Its description in RNAcentral is "partial 16S ribosomal RNA". It matches the Rfam family "Bacterial small subunit ribosomal RNA", at positions 509 to 807 of the family's 1533-position model. The record is from RNAcentral.